CAUCAAGAGGGUUUGGAAAGUCGCCAAAUUUAGUGAGAAAGUCGCCAAGUUGGCAGCACUGAAUGUAAACACACGCAACGUGAAUCACCCAUGCACAGCCCUGUACGAAACCGAACGUCCCGUACCGAAAAGGGUUCAAUACAAAUACAUGUAUCAUUACACCCUUAGUAUUUACAAACAGACU
This is a long non-coding RNA of Thalassophryne amazonica, 184 nucleotides long. RefSeq lists it as uncharacterized. The record is from RefSeq and is a predicted model, not a curated record. The transcript is spliced from 3 exons. Lineage: Eukaryota; Metazoa; Chordata; Actinopteri; Batrachoidiformes; Batrachoididae.